CUCUUAUCAAGAGAGGUGGAGGGAUGUGCCCGAUGAAGCCCGGCAACCGUCAAUGUUUAUUGAAAUGGUGCCAAUUCACACAAAGCUUUUAGCUUUGGCAGAUGAGAG
This is a regulatory RNA element of Bacillus infantis NRRL B-14911, 108 nucleotides long. It matches the Rfam family "SAM riboswitch aptamer (S box leader)". From Rfam's summary of the family: The SAM riboswitch is found upstream of a number of genes which code for proteins involved in methionine or cysteine biosynthesis in Gram-positive bacteria. The SAM riboswitch acts at the level of transcription termination control. The record is from Rfam. Lineage: Bacteria; Bacillati; Bacillota; Bacilli; Caryophanales; Bacillaceae.